This 467-nucleotide long non-coding RNA is filed under the name Mus spicilegus (steppe mouse). Its description in RNAcentral is "lncRNA (ENSMSIG00000000913.1)". Lineage: Eukaryota; Metazoa; Chordata; Mammalia; Rodentia; Muridae. The record is from RNAcentral.
UGAGCCAUUUCUCCAGCCCCAUCCAUCCAUUUUAUUACAAAUAACAUAAUGUCGUUUUUCUUUACUUUCACAACAGAAGAGAGCUUCAAUUGGAUCUUCAGCAGGUGAUGCCAUCUUGUCCAGGGUCUCUUUUGUCUUGCACUGUGGACAUUCAGCACUGGAGAAUUCUUUGCUUUCUCUGUGUCACAUGACCGACACACAACUGCAGAAGACCUGGGGAGGAGGCGCCAUCCCUACCCCUAUCUGAACAGAGGAAGGGAGACCCCCAACAGCUGGGUUGAAUCGCUUGUCAACGUCAGAGAACAAGACUUACUGAAGAAUUUCUCCCUCUUGUUUUGACAUUGGACUCCUGUUUUAGUGAAACCCAAGAGUCCCUAGCCACCUGGAAGAACUAACAGGUAAUUAAUGAAACCAAAGGCCCAACCACUGCUUAAUGACCCACAGAAUGCUAUUUCCAUGGUCAGCAU